ACACUCUCUAUAGCUAGAUACUCAGUGUAUUCCUAGAUAGCAAAUCACACCAUACGACAACGGAUGCUAAUGGUUUUGCAAUUAGGAGAGUGUUGAUGCCAGAGUGAAGGCCCAUUGUGUAUGAAAGUAGAAAACUCAGGGGUAGCCAACUAAGGUGGCCCACCUACAAGAAGGAACACUUUGCAGUUGUCCACUACCUUAAAAUAUAGAAGCUUUAUUUGAGCGGCAGAGAAAUAAAGGUCUUUAUUGAUAAUAUAUCAC
RNAcentral lists this long non-coding RNA (261 nucleotides) under Physcomitrium patens. RNAcentral's name for it is "long non-coding RNA (PPAT_LNC002604)". Lineage: Eukaryota; Viridiplantae; Streptophyta; Bryopsida; Funariales; Funariaceae. The record is from RNAcentral.